GAGAAUAUAACUCAGUGGUAGAGUAUGUGUUUAGUAUGCACAAGGUCCUGGGUUCAACCCCCAGUACUUCCA
This is a transfer RNA of Camelus ferus (Wild Bactrian camel), 72 nucleotides long. It matches the Rfam family "tRNA". From Rfam's summary of the family: Transfer RNA (tRNA) molecules are approximately 80 nucleotides in length. Their secondary structure includes four short double-helical elements and three loops (D, anti-codon, and T loops). The record is from Rfam. Lineage: Eukaryota; Metazoa; Chordata; Mammalia; Artiodactyla; Camelidae.